Non-coding RNA from Bombyx mori (domestic silkworm), 126 nucleotides. The record is from RefSeq and is marked validated. NCBI's taxonomy places the organism in Eukaryota, Metazoa, Arthropoda, Insecta, Lepidoptera, Bombycidae.
UGUCUAAUUGGUAAACUGCACAUUGUAUCGCUUCGCACCGCAGAUGUUUUGGCAAUUUGGUUUCCGCUAAUAGCGUCCUCGUUUUGUCGCAUAAUGUGCGGUUCAUCCGUUCUGAUAUGCCAUUAA